CCUACGGGUGGCAGCAGUGAGGAAUCUUGGUCAAUGGGCGCGAGCCUGAACCAGCCAAGUAGCGUGAAGGAUGACUGCCCUACGGGUUGUAAACUUCUUUUAUAAAGGAAUAAAGUGAGGCACGUGUGCCUUUUUGUAUGUACUUUAUGAAUACGGAUCGACUAACUCCGUGCCAGCAGCCGCGGUAAUACGGAGGAUCCGAGCGUUGUCCGGAUUUAUUGGGUUUAAAGGUAGCGUAGAUGGGUUGUUAAGUCAGUUGUGAAAGUUUGCGGCUCAACCGUAAAAUUGCAAUUGAUACUGGCAGCCUUGAGUACAGUUGAGGGAGGCGGAAUUCGUGGUGUAGCGGUGAAAUGCUUAGAUAUCACGAAGAACUCCGAUUGCGAAGGCAGCUUACUAAACUGCCACUGACAUUGAUGCUCGAAAGUGUGGGUAGCGAACAGGAUUAGAUACCCGAGUAGUC
This 460-nucleotide ribosomal RNA is filed under the name uncultured bacterium. RNAcentral's name for it is "partial 16S ribosomal RNA". It matches the Rfam family "Bacterial small subunit ribosomal RNA", at positions 338 to 795 of the family's 1533-position model. The record is from RNAcentral.